Molecule: long non-coding RNA, 1346 nt
Filed under: Homo sapiens (human)
Lineage: Eukaryota; Metazoa; Chordata; Mammalia; Primates; Hominidae
Description: non-protein coding LINC00612:9
Source: RNAcentral
CUUCCCGUGGCCCCGGGGCUCAGGGGCAGCCCAGGACUCUCCCUCGCCCGGCUCACGGCCCUGCCUGGGGGGCGCCUCCGGGAGCAGAUCACGAGCCCUGGGGCUCAGCCCUCAGGCGCGUCUAGCUCGGCGGUCACCCCAGUGCCGGGAGGACCCUGAAGACGCGCCCCAGGCGGCCCUACUCAGAGCCUCCUCCCAAGGCCCAGGAAUGCGGCGCUGUCGGAGGUGUGCGCGGUGGCCACACCGCUGUCCGGGUCCCCAAAGCGGGCCCCGCUCCCACUUCUCGCCUUGGCCCCGAACCCUGGGUCCAGCCCCAGCGCUUUGUGUGCGAACACCGCUCCGCCCCGGACCCAGCUCCGCCUUGGGGCCCCUCUCUGCCUGCCCCUCCGUGCCCGACUACACUGCUUCCCCUCCGGCGGGCGACUCAGCCCGGUCCAUCGUGGCGGCUUCCAGGGCGGCAGGCUCCGGGAGUACUCCCGGGGCCGGCUCCAAGGACUGUUCCCCUCCUCCCCACUCCCACUCCGCGGCGGCGGCGGGCGAGAGCGGCGACAUAGGGCCAGGGUCCGGAGCGGUGGAGGCUCCUGGCCGGGGAGCACGUCGCCCCACCCGGCAACGCGAGGAUGGUGGCGGCGCAGUCGGCUGCUUUGGGGUCUCAAGGCACAGGGGACGCGAGGCACAGAUGUCCCACAGCAGCCACUGCGGCUCCCGCAGCUGCUCCGCCGCCGCUGCCCGCCCCUCCCUGCUGCAGCUGGCGUGAUGGCAGCGGCAGCUCUGGACGCCCCACUGCUGCCACCAUCAGCCUUGUGAAAUAGCUUGAAAGAUCUAGCCACGUGAGCAGGACAGAAGUGCACAACAACCAUAUCUUGAUUUCUGUGGACCAGGUGGGGCCCCUGCCAGCCUUGCUAGACAGACCCAGGUGAACAGUCCUUCUAGGGGAUCUCAUCACCAGGCAAGCACGUGGUACGAGAAGAGCAGUCAUUAGGAAGGCCAUUUGGAAAAGCACAUCCUCUCUGUUCACGAUGAAGACUGAUGCUAAGGAAAAAGAGAUGAGGCCUCCCUGGUUCCGCAUUAUUACUCCUUCCUUUCUUGGGUUACGGAUUGAACACUGACCUUUUCUUUCACUCUUCUGCAAGACAACCCCAUAAGAAAGCUGAAACCUGCUUUUGUGAAAGCCUAUGAUUACUAUAAGACAGGCACAGAGCAAGAAAAUGUUUGAGGCUUGUGUCUAUAAACAAGACUUGGCUGGAAUCCCCAGACCCACGACUUUUUAAAAGGAUAUUUUGUCCCUGCAAUACAGAUACUGAAUGAGGUUGGCAAAUAAAUAUGUAUUUCUAGAGACUCUAUAA